AAAACACUACCAUCUCACAAUGCAUGUUCUUGGGCUCCUGACUACUGCCACCUCCUUGGAGGUACUUGAUGGAUUGGUAGAAAGUACAGCAGUCGUGUUUUCUAGUCCAUCAAGUGGGGAAAAUGUUGAAAAACAUUUUCAAAACCUUCAGUUGUGGCUGCAGAGAGCUACCUUACCAGUGGAGGAGUCUGACAAGUCAGAAAAAAGCACUGAAGACUUAAAGGAAACAAUCAAGGGAUCAAACAACUUUGCAACAACAUUACUGCAAAGUUGUAACAACAGCCCCGCUGGACGUCACUGGUGAGCCUCAUGUCUUUUAUUGUGAAGGACUUGUGGCUCACAUGACAACCUACCUUCUACCCUACGCAGCCCUGUGGAGCGGGAUAAUGCUUGGGAACCUUGGACGACAUGGAAAAGGAAAGGCGUACAAAGAAAACACACGCAAACAUGAAGCCCUGAGAAAGCUCACAAGACAGAACAUUACACAGGACAACAACACUCAGGGAAUAAUGGAGAAGAGCCAGUGAGACCUGAAACAUAUACGUUUCAGUCAGUUCCCGCAGGCUCACAAGACUGGACCAUUGUUGUGGUCCAGUACCAGAAGUCCCACAACGCCCUCCUAUUGGAGUUUGAGGACUCCAACAGAGUGCAAAAA
This is a long non-coding RNA of Notolabrus celidotus (New Zealand spotty), 655 nucleotides long. RefSeq lists it as uncharacterized. NCBI's taxonomy places the organism in Eukaryota, Metazoa, Chordata, Actinopteri, Labriformes, Labridae. The transcript has 4 exons. The record is from RefSeq and is a predicted model, not a curated record.